Molecule: ribosomal RNA, 555 nt
Filed under: Pectobacterium atrosepticum
Lineage: Bacteria; Pseudomonadati; Pseudomonadota; Gammaproteobacteria; Enterobacterales; Pectobacteriaceae
Description: bacterial SSU rRNA
Rfam family: Bacterial small subunit ribosomal RNA
Source: RNAcentral
GCGCACGCAGGCGGUCUGUUAAGUUGGAUGUGAAAUCCCCGGGCUUAACCUGGGAACUGCAUUCAAAACUGACAGGCUAGAGUCUCGUAGAGGGGGGUAGAAUUCCAGGUGUAGCGGUGAAAUGCGUAGAGAUCUGGAGGAAUACCGGUGGCGAAGGCGGCCCCCUGGACGAAGACUGACGCUCAGGUGCGAAAGCGUGGGGAGCAAACAGGAUUAGAUACCCUGGUAGUCCACGCUGUAAACGAUGUCGACUUGGAGGUUGUGCCCUUGAGGCGUGGCUUCCGGAGCUAACGCGUUAAGUCGACCGCCUGGGGAGUACGGCCGCAAGGUUAAAACUCAAAUGAAUUGACGGGGGCCCGCACAAGCGGUGGAGCAUGUGGUUUAAUUCGAUGCAACGCGAAGAACCUUACCUACUCUUGACAUCCAGAGAAUUUGGCAGAGAUGCCUUAGUGCCUUCGGGAGCUCUGAGACAGGUGCUGCAUGGCUGUCGUCAGCUCGUGUUGUGAAAUGUUGGGUUAAGUCCCGCAACGAGCGCUACCCUUAUCCUUUGUUGCC